CAUUGGAUAACUUGGCGAAACGCCAAGCUAAUACAUGAACCAACGGGACGCUCUCUGUUCCGGCGGUGGGGCAACUCACCGCCAUGGGACGUCCAGCGAAUGAAUGAAAGUAAAAUCAAUGCCUUAACCGGCAGUAACACCCAGAAGUGUUGACUCAAUUCAUUCCGUGCGAAAGCCGGGUUUUACCCGGCGUCUUUUGACGAACAACUGCCCUAUCAGCCAGUGAUGGCCGUGUAGUGGACUGCCAUGGCGUUGACGGGAGCGGGGGAUUAGGGUUCGAUUCCGGAGAGGGAGCCUGAGAAAUAGCUACCACUUCUACGGAGGGCAGCAGGCGCGCAAAUUGCCCAAUGUCAAAAAAAACGAUGAGGCAGCGAAAAGAAAUAGAGCCGACGGUGCCUAGUGCAUUGUCGUAUUCAAUGGGGGAUAUUUAAACCCAUCCAAAAUCGAGUAACAAUUGGAGGACAAGUCUGGUGCCAGCACCCGCGGUAAUUCCAGCUCCAAAAGCGUAUAUUAAUGCUGUUGCUGUUAAAGGGU
RNAcentral lists this ribosomal RNA (534 nucleotides) under Trypanosoma avium. RNAcentral's name for it is "SSU rRNA". It matches the Rfam family "Eukaryotic small subunit ribosomal RNA", at positions 137 to 627 of the family's 1831-position model. Lineage: Eukaryota; Euglenozoa; Kinetoplastea; Trypanosomatida; Trypanosomatidae. The record is from RNAcentral.